CCUACGGGUGGCAGCAGUGGGGAAUAUUGCACAAUGGGGGAAACCCUGAUGCAGCGACGCCGCGUGAAGGAAGAAGUAUUUCGGUAUGUAAACUUCUAUCAGCAGGGAAGAAAAUGACGGUACUUGACUAAGAAGCCCCGGCUAACUCCGUGCCAGCAGCCGCGGUAAUACGUAGGGGGCAAGCGUUAUCCGGAUUUGCUGGGUGUAAAGUGAGCGGAGGCGGCGAUGCGAGUCAGAAGUGAAAGCCCGGGGCUCAACUCCGGGACUGCUUUUGAUACUGUAUGGCUUGAUUGCAGGAGAGGGGAGUAGAAUUCCAGGUGGAGCGGUGAAAUGCGUAGAGAUUAGGAGGAACACCAGUGGCGAAGGCGGCUUGCUGGAC
Molecule: ribosomal RNA, 379 nt
Filed under: uncultured bacterium
Lineage: Bacteria
Description: partial 16S ribosomal RNA
Rfam family: Bacterial small subunit ribosomal RNA
Source: RNAcentral